GCGCGAAACCUCCGCAAUGUGAGAAAUCGCGACGGGGGGACCCCAAGUGCCAUUCUUAACGGGAUGGCUUUUCUUAAGUGUAAAAAGCUUUUGGAAUAAGAGCUGGGCAAGACCGGUGCCAGCCGCCGCGGUAACACCGGCAGCUCUAGUGGUAGCCAUUUUUAUUGGGCCUAAAGCGUUCGUAGCCGGUUUAAUAAGUCUCUGGUGAAAUCCCGUAGCUUAACUAUGGGAAUUGCUGGAGAUACUAUUAGACUUGAGGUCGGGAGAGGUUAGAGGUACUCCCAGGGUAGGGUGAAAUCCUGUAAUCCUGGGAGGACCACCUGUGGCGAAGGCGUCUAACUGGAACGAACCUGACGGUGAGGGACGAAAGCUAGGGGCGCGAACCGGAUUAGAAACCCC
Molecule: ribosomal RNA, 399 nt
Filed under: uncultured bacterium
Lineage: Bacteria
Description: bacterial SSU rRNA
Rfam family: Archaeal small subunit ribosomal RNA
Source: RNAcentral